This 273-nucleotide ribosomal RNA is filed under the name uncultured bacterium. RNAcentral's name for it is "partial 16S ribosomal RNA". It matches the Rfam family "Bacterial small subunit ribosomal RNA", at positions 524 to 796 of the family's 1533-position model. The record is from RNAcentral.
UACAGAGGGUGCGAGCGUUGUCCGGAAUCACUGGGCGUAAAGGGCGCGUAGGCGGCCGGGUAAGUAGGGGGUGAAAUCCCACAGCUCAACUGUGAGGCUGCCUUCUAGACUGCUUGGCUCGAGCACGGUAGAGGCUGGUGGAAUUCCCGGUGUAGCGGUGGAAUGCGUAGAGAUCGGGAAGAACAUCGGUGGCGAAGGCGGCCAGCUGGGCCGUUGCUGACGCUGAGGCGCGAAAGCGUGGGGAGCAAACAGGAUUAGAAACCCCCGUAGUCC